This is a long non-coding RNA of Zonotrichia leucophrys gambelii, 421 nucleotides long. RefSeq lists it as uncharacterized. The record is from RefSeq and is a predicted model, not a curated record. NCBI's taxonomy places the organism in Eukaryota, Metazoa, Chordata, Aves, Passeriformes, Passerellidae. The transcript has 4 exons.
CUUUGGGCCAGGUGUCCCAGCCAGGCUCCCUCUAAGCUGCUUGUGCCCCUUCUUCCUGGCAAAACAUGGGAAACUGAAAAGUCCUUGACUUAAGGUCUCCUUCAGGAAAAAAAGUAAUUAGUGAAUCUGCAUUCCAUAAGUAGCCCCAUAGAUUUUACUGAUAUCAACCCAGGUUGCAAAUUUUCACUCCUCCAAGAAGAAGAGUUGUUUGAUCUCCAUCUGGAAGCAUCCCUUGAACCCGUGUGUCCUAAGGACUGUGAAGAGACCUCGUGUUAACCGCAGCUUUGAAAUAGAUUUGCCUGGCCUAUCUUCUCUGCAAAAUUCUCCAAUUAGGAAUAAAGGCCACGAUCUUUCAGAUUAAACCUGCUACAGCCAGGCUCUUCCCAGGGCUGCAGAGUGGAUAUGUGCAGGUAUGAUCAUU